RNAcentral lists this ribosomal RNA (253 nucleotides) under uncultured bacterium. RNAcentral's name for it is "partial 16S ribosomal RNA". It matches the Rfam family "Bacterial small subunit ribosomal RNA", at positions 524 to 776 of the family's 1533-position model. The record is from RNAcentral.
UACGUAGGGGGCAAGCGUUGUCCGGAUUUAUUGGGCGUAAAGAGCGUGUAGGCGGUUUGGUAGGUCCGUUGUGAAAACUCGAGGCUCAACCUCGAGACGCCGAUGGAAACCAUCAGACUAGAGUCCGGAAGAGGAGAGUGGAAUUCCUGGUGUAGCGGUGAAAUGCGCAGAUAUCAGGAAGAACACCCGUGGCUAAGGCGGCUCUCUAGUACGGUACUGACGCUGAGACGCGACAGCGUGGGGAGCAAACAGG